CCUGCUUCUAAAGGCAUUUCAGGUGUGGCUGCUGUGUCACAUGUGCAUCAGUAGGUGACAGAGAGGAGAGAGGCUAUGUCUAUGCUCAGUGGUCUGACCAGUGAACAUUUGAAUGAUUAGUAGCCUAAUCUU
Grammomys surdaster is the source of this 132-nucleotide small nucleolar RNA. RefSeq annotates it as small nucleolar RNA SNORA17. Lineage: Eukaryota; Metazoa; Chordata; Mammalia; Rodentia; Muridae. The transcript has a single exon. The record is from RefSeq and is a predicted model, not a curated record.